Molecule: long non-coding RNA, 563 nt
Filed under: Helianthus annuus (common sunflower)
Lineage: Eukaryota; Viridiplantae; Streptophyta; Magnoliopsida; Asterales; Asteraceae
Source: RNAcentral
CAAUACAUUGACCCGAGCCAGGUAUGUGUAAUAGAGUAAUUAUUCAUUUAGAACGUAAGAACAUAAGGUUCAAUGAGCAUUAAACGAAGUCUUAGAUAGACAAUGGGUUACUUAAAUGGGUAAACCGAACAUUUUAAAAGAGGGUCGUGGCGUUCUGAAAAGCAUAAUGACUUUUCGAACAAGAUCAUAACUCAAAAGAAGAAUUAUGGGUCAAACAUGCUCUCAAAAGACCUUGUCGUAAUUGAAAGACUAAAAAGGACCAAAAUGCCCUUGUUGGCUAAAUUGAACAAACAACCCUUAGAGGUUGUUUGGAAACGAGUUUCAUGAUUAGAUAAAUACUUAGAAUAAGUGUAGAAGUUGAAAGAUGUAAUACGUUAGUCAAAUGGCUCUAUUCGAGUCUUGCCGUAAAAUAAUAAUCCGAAGGGUAAAACUCGGAACAUAUAGAUAUCCACAUUAAAUCCAACACACAUAGAGUUUUAGUUGAAGAUUACUUGAUAAGAAAUGUAGGAAUAAGAUGCUAGAAAUGAAUGAAAGCGAUUUCAAGCUUUAAAGUGCUUAAAUAC